UGGGGAAUUUUGGACAAUGGGGGCAACCCUGAUCCAGCAAUGCCGCGUGUGUGAAGAAGGCCUUCGGGUUGUAAAGCACUUUUGUCCGGAAAGAAAACGCCGUGGUUAAUACCCGUGGCGGAUGACGGUACCGGAAGAAUAAGCACCGGCUAACUACGUGCCAGCAGCCGCGGUAAUACGUAGGGUGCAAGCGUUAAUCGGAAUUACUGGGCGUAAAGCGUGCGCAGGCGGUCCGCUAAGACAGAUGUGAAAUCCCCGGGCUUAACCUGGGAACUGCAUUUGUGACUGGCGGGCUAGAGUAUGGCAGAGGGGGGUAGAAUUCCACGUGUAGCAGUGAAAUGCGGUAGAGAUGUGGAGGAAUACCGAUGGCGAAGGCAGCCCCCUGGGCCAAUACUGACGCUCAUGCACGAAAGCGUGGGGGAGCAAACAGGAUUAGAUACCCUGGUAGUCCACGCCCU
Molecule: ribosomal RNA, 458 nt
Filed under: uncultured bacterium
Lineage: Bacteria
Description: partial 16S ribosomal RNA
Rfam family: Bacterial small subunit ribosomal RNA
Source: RNAcentral